This 242-nucleotide long non-coding RNA is filed under the name Elaeis guineensis (African oil palm). Its description in RNAcentral is "long non-coding RNA (EGUI_LNC003117)". Lineage: Eukaryota; Viridiplantae; Streptophyta; Magnoliopsida; Arecales; Arecaceae. The record is from RNAcentral.
AUCUUAGAGAUAUUUAAACAAGUGAAAGUAAAUAUCUCUCUACUAGACAUGAUCUAACAAAUUUUCACAUACAUCAAAUUUCUCAAAGACUGAUGCACAAAGAAGAAGACCACCAAUAUUCUCAAAAAAGCUUUCUUGGCGGUCAGUGUGAGCUCAUAUCAGUCGAGUCACAUGUCUGUUAAGUAUAAAGAUCCGGUCUUCGAUAAUCUCUUGUGUCAUUGGAGAAACCAUCAUUGACAGGG